CCAUUAGAUGUUCUGGGCUGCACGCGCGCUACACUGAUGCGAUCAACAAGUUUUUCCUAUGUCGAUAGACACGGGUAAUCUUUUGAACUCGCAUCGUGAUGGGGAUAGAUUAUUGUAAUUAUUAAUCUUCAACGAGGAAUUCCUAGUAGGUGCAAAUCAUCAGUUUGCAUCGAUUACGUCCCUGCCCUUUGUACACACCGCCCGUCGCUGCUACCGAUUGGUUGAUCUGGUGAAUUAUUCGGACUGCCGGCUGAAGGGGUUUCCUCAUCUGCCAGCGGAAAGUCUUGUUAACCCUAUCAACUAGAGGAAGCAGAAGUCGUAACA
This 324-nucleotide ribosomal RNA is filed under the name uncultured eukaryote. RNAcentral's name for it is "partial 18S ribosomal RNA". It matches the Rfam family "Eukaryotic small subunit ribosomal RNA", at positions 1470 to 1796 of the family's 1831-position model. The record is from RNAcentral.